AAGUCGUAACAAGGUUUCCGUAGGUGAACCUGCGGAAGGAUCAUUACAGAGUUAGGGUCUUUUAGGCCCGACCUCCCAACCCUUUGUUUACUCAACUCUGGUUGCUUCGGCGAGACCGUCUUCAAGCUCGCGUCCGUCGAUGGCCGACUUCAAAUUCUUGACCAUAAAUCAUGUCUAUUGUCUAAGUAUGAUAUCAAUUCAAAAACAAAAAACUUUCAACAACGGAUCUCUUGGUUCUG
RNAcentral lists this unclassified non-coding RNA (239 nucleotides) under air metagenome. RNAcentral describes it as "partial contains small subunit ribosomal RNA, internal transcribed spacer 1, and 5.8S ribosomal RNA". The stretch from base 1 to 46 matches the Rfam family "Eukaryotic small subunit ribosomal RNA", at positions 1786 to 1831 of the family's 1831-position model. The record is from RNAcentral.